GGUCAAGAUCCAUGCAACCUAGAACGAUCAUGACGUUCUCUUUCUAUUCCUUAAAGUUUGUGCCGUUAAGCACAGGGAUUCUAUUGAUGUUGGCAGAGAUCGUAGAAACAGAAGAAUUAACUGAAAAUAGAACAAAAGGAUUACUGAAUAUAUGCUUACAAUUACUUGAACUUUAACUUUACUUUAUAGAUUCAAAAUAGGCAUAUCCCAUUACAAGAUACCAAGCACAACAUUGAUUUUAGUCUUUGGACAGAAAAAUAACUUGUAAGUGGUACUCUUGGUGUAGUGAUCAAACAUAGACA
Molecule: long non-coding RNA, 302 nt
Filed under: Nicotiana benthamiana
Lineage: Eukaryota; Viridiplantae; Streptophyta; Magnoliopsida; Solanales; Solanaceae
Description: long non-coding RNA (NBEN_LNC038910)
Source: RNAcentral